This 170-nucleotide ribosomal RNA is filed under the name uncultured Anoxybacillus sp. RNAcentral describes it as "partial 16S ribosomal RNA". It matches the Rfam family "Bacterial small subunit ribosomal RNA", at positions 1214 to 1382 of the family's 1533-position model. Lineage: Bacteria; Bacillati; Bacillota; Bacilli; Caryophanales; Anoxybacillaceae. The record is from RNAcentral.
CUACACACGUGCUACAAUGGGCGGUACAAAGGGUCGCGAACCCGCGAGGGGGAGGCCAAUCCCAAAAGACCGCUCUCAGUUCGGAUUGCAGGCUGCAACUCGCCUGCAUGAAGCCGGAAUCGCUAGUAAUCGCGGAUCAGCAUGCCGCGGUGAAUACGUUCCCGGGCCUU